This is a long non-coding RNA of Asparagus officinalis (garden asparagus), 826 nucleotides long. RefSeq lists it as uncharacterized. NCBI's taxonomy places the organism in Eukaryota, Viridiplantae, Streptophyta, Magnoliopsida, Asparagales, Asparagaceae. The transcript has 3 exons. The record is from RefSeq and is a predicted model, not a curated record.
AUGUAAAAUACAUUCAGGGGCUGUUUGUUUGGUCCAAAAACCAUAGAAAAAGACCCCUAGAAAACUGACAGAGGGUAUUUUUCAUAAUUUCCUUCAUAAUCAGGUGUUUGUUUUGCAAAAGAUAAAAAGGAAAGUGAGGGAAAGAUGUUGCGCCAGCUAGAUAUUUUCCCCAUAAAAUUUUCUCCUAUUUUGAAGCCGAUUACGGAAGAAAAGUGCACUUUUCUCUCUCUGUCCGAAUCUAGGGCUCUCGAAAUUUUUUUCUCCGCUGCACCGCAACUUGUUUUGGUCACGUCCUCUCUCGGAUCAUGCACAUCCUCUCGUCCACCUUCCCUCUCGCCGUGAAAAGCCCCUCGUCCGCCUUCUCUCCCGCCGUGCAAAGCACACCGACGAGCUGACCCCAGAAAUUUCUCUCACCUCUCUCUCUUGGAUCCCCAAAACCCUAACCCUAUUUCCCAAUUGCUGCUUGGAAUUCAAUUGGAAUUGAUCCUCUAGGUAUAUCAUCAUAUUUUACUAUGGCAGACAAACCAAGAUUUCCAGGAUCGAGGUGAUGCUGCAGGUUCAGCUCCUAUAGAACACAAUGGUGUUCCACUGGAGACUGGACAAUGACAUAGAUAUCGCAGUUGAGUUUGAAGAGGAUGAGGAGGAAGAAGAGAGCGAUUAUGGUCAGAUACAUCUCUUAACGAUUUGGCUAAUUCAGAAUACUAUUCGAAAAUUUAAAUAUUUUUAUACGACGGUUGAUAUAUGUUUACCUCUCAAUUUAUGUUGGAAAUAAAUUAUCCUAUAAGAGUAGUAAGCACACCAUGAUGACCAUAGUCAUGGUUUCUUU